AGUGGCGGACGGGUGAGUAACGCGUGAGAAUCUGCCUUGGGGUCGGGGACAACCACUGGAAACGGUGGCUAAUACCGGAUAAGCCGAUUGGUGAAAGAUUUAUUGCCCGAAGAGGAGCUCGCGUCUGAUUAGCUAGUUGGUGAGGUAAGAGCUCACCAAGGCAGCGAUCAGUAGCUGGUCUGAGAGGACGAUCAGCCACACUGGGACUGAGACACGGCCCAGACUCCUACGGGAGGCAGCAGUGGGGAAUUUUCCGCAAUGGGCGAAAGUCUGACGGAGCAAGACCGCGUGAGGGAGGAAGGCUCUUGGGUUGUAAACCUCUUUUCUCAGGGAAGAAGCUCUGACGGUACCUGAGGAAUCAGCCUCGGCUAACUCCGUGCCAGCAGCCGCGGUAAUACGGAGGAGGCAAGCGUUAUCCGGAAUUAUUGGGCGUAAAGCGUCCGCAGGUGGCGAUUCAAGUCUGCUGUCAAAGCACGGGGCUUAACUCCGUAAAGGCAGUGGAAACUGAAUAGCUAGAGUGCCGUAGGGGUAGAGGGAAUUCCCGGUGUAGCGGUGAAAUGCGUAGAGAUCGGGAAGAACAUCGGUGGCGAAAGCGCUCUACUGGACGGCAACUGACACUCAGGGACGAAAGCUAGGGGAGCGAAUGGGAUUAGAUACCCC
RNAcentral lists this ribosomal RNA (660 nucleotides) under uncultured bacterium. Its description in RNAcentral is "bacterial SSU rRNA". It matches the Rfam family "Bacterial small subunit ribosomal RNA", at positions 94 to 788 of the family's 1533-position model. The record is from RNAcentral.